Trichonephila clavata is the source of this 75-nucleotide non-coding RNA. The record is from the annotation of a GenBank genome assembly. Lineage: Eukaryota; Metazoa; Arthropoda; Arachnida; Araneae; Nephilidae.
GUUCCUGUGGCCUAAUGGUUAAGGUUUUGGACUCCGAAUCCAAAGAUUGUGGGUUCAAGUACCACCACAGGAACA